AGCCUGAUGGAGCAACGCCGCGUGUGUGAUGAAGGCUUUCGGGUCGUAAAGCUCUGUUGUAUGAGAAGAAAUGCUAAAAUAGUGAAUGAUUUUAGUUUGACGGUACCAUACCAGAAAGGGACGGCUAAAUACGUGCCAGCAGCCGCGGUAAU
RNAcentral lists this ribosomal RNA (152 nucleotides) under uncultured Leuconostoc sp. RNAcentral's name for it is "partial 16S ribosomal RNA". It matches the Rfam family "Bacterial small subunit ribosomal RNA", at positions 380 to 524 of the family's 1533-position model. The record is from RNAcentral. Lineage: Bacteria; Bacillati; Bacillota; Bacilli; Lactobacillales; Lactobacillaceae.